UACAGAGACUGCAAGCGUUAUUCGGAUUUACUGGGCGUAAAGGGCGCGUAGGCGGCAUGACAAGUCACUUGUGAAAUCUCCGGGCUUAACUCGGAACGGUCAAGUGAUACUGUCGCGCUAGAGUGCGGAAGGGGCAAUCAGAAUUCUUGGUGUAGCGGUGAAAUGCGUAGAUAUCAAGAGGAAUACCUGAGGUGAAGACGGGUUGCUAGGCCGACACUGACGCUGAAGCGCGAAAGCCAGGGGAGCAAACGGG
Molecule: ribosomal RNA, 253 nt
Filed under: uncultured bacterium
Lineage: Bacteria
Description: partial 16S ribosomal RNA
Rfam family: Bacterial small subunit ribosomal RNA
Source: RNAcentral